GCUCCAAGCACAAAGAAGAGCAACUGUAAACUCUCAGAAGCCAGAGACAAAAUGGUUUCCUCAGGGGCAGCAAGUCAAAACUGCAAGUCAUGUAGCUGAAGAAUGUGCAAAGGAGAAAGUUUUCACCUAAUGUAACACCCAGAACCAAAGCUUGCCCCUGCUGCACAGAACCCAAGGACCGGGACACGACCACAAGUCGAAAGCUGGAAACUUUUCAGAAAGAAGGAUCCAUUGUCCAGGAAGAUCUGGUGUUAAAGCCCCUUUUCAUAUCCCAUAAUUGGUCUUCUUUAAAGUCCUUCCAAUCAAAAUCUCUUGCCAGCACUUCCACAUACCAGCCUGUCUCCCUAAUCCCUUAAAUUCUACCCCAAACCCUGGAUCAGGGAGACAAAUUUGCACCCUGC
This 401-nucleotide long non-coding RNA is filed under the name Equus asinus (donkey). Its description in RNAcentral is "lncRNA (ENSEASG00005030739.1)". The record is from RNAcentral. Lineage: Eukaryota; Metazoa; Chordata; Mammalia; Perissodactyla; Equidae.